UACGGAGGGUGCAAGCGUUAAUCGGAAUUAUUGGGCGUAAAGAGUAUGUAGGCGGCUAUUUAAGUCAGACGUGCAAGCCCACGGCUCAACCGUGGAAUUGCGUUUGAAACUAUUUAGCUUGAGUUCAGGAGAGGAAGGCGGAAUUCCCAGUGUAGCGGUGAAAUGCAUUGAUAUUGGGAAGAACACCGGUGGCGAAGGCGGCCUUCUGGUCUGAUACUGACGCUGAGAUACGAAAGCCAGGGGAGCGAACGGG
Molecule: ribosomal RNA, 253 nt
Filed under: uncultured bacterium
Lineage: Bacteria
Description: partial 16S ribosomal RNA
Rfam family: Bacterial small subunit ribosomal RNA
Source: RNAcentral